GAUGAACGCUGGCGGCGUGCCUAAUACAUGCAAGUCGAGCGAACAGACGAGGAGCUUGCUCCUCUGACGUUAGCGGCGGACGGGUGAGUAACACGUGGAUAACCUACCUAUAAGACUGGGAUAACUUCGGGAAACCGGAGCUAAUACCGGAUAAUAUAUUGAACCGCAUGGUUCAAUAGUGAAAGACGGUUUUGCUGUCACUUAUAGAUGGAUCCGCGCCGCAUUAGCUAGUUGGUAAGGUAACGGCUUACCAAGGCAACGAUGCGUAGCCGACCUGAGAGGGUGAUCGGCCACACUGGAACUGGGACACGGUCCAGACUCCUACGGGAGGCAGCAGUAGGGAAUCUUCCGCAAUGGGCGAAAGCCUGACGGAGCAACGCCGAGUGAGUGAUGAAGGUGUUCGGAUCGUAAAACUCGGUUAUUAGGGAAGAACAAAUGUGUAAGUAACUAUGCACGUCUUGACGGUACCUAAUCAGAAAGCCACGGCUAACUACGUG
This 497-nucleotide ribosomal RNA is filed under the name uncultured bacterium. Its description in RNAcentral is "partial 16S ribosomal RNA". It matches the Rfam family "Bacterial small subunit ribosomal RNA", at positions 28 to 507 of the family's 1533-position model. The record is from RNAcentral.